UACGGGGGGUGCAAGCGUUGUUCGGAAUUAUUGGGCGUAAAGCGCGUGUAGGCGGUCUGAUUAGUCUGAUGUGAAAGCCCCGGGCUCAACCUGGGAAGUGCAUUGGAUACUGUCAGACUUGAAUACGGGAGAGGGUAGUGGAAUUCCUAGUGUAGGAGUGAAAUCCGUAGAUAUUAGGAGGAACACCGGUGGCGAAGGCGGCUACCUGGACCGAUAUUGACGCUGAGACGCGAAAGCGUGGGUAG
Molecule: ribosomal RNA, 245 nt
Filed under: uncultured bacterium
Lineage: Bacteria
Description: partial 16S ribosomal RNA
Rfam family: Bacterial small subunit ribosomal RNA
Source: RNAcentral